RNAcentral lists this ribosomal RNA (400 nucleotides) under uncultured bacterium. Its description in RNAcentral is "partial 16S ribosomal RNA". It matches the Rfam family "Archaeal small subunit ribosomal RNA", at positions 473 to 873 of the family's 1478-position model. The record is from RNAcentral.
AUACCCGCGCCCCAAGUGGUGGUCGAUAUUAUUGAGCCUAAAACGUCCGUAGCCGGUCUUCUAAAUCCUUGGGUAAAUCGGGCAGCUUAACUGUCCGAAGUCCGGGGAGACUGGGAGACUUGGGACCGGGAGAGGUCAGAGGUACUUCUGGGGUAGGGGUAAAAUCCUGUAAUCCUGGAAGGACCACCGGUGGCGAAGGCGUCUGACUAAAACGGAUCCGACGGUGAGGGACGAAGCCCUGGGGCGCAAACGGGAUUAGAUACCCCGGUAGUCCAGGGUGUAAACGCUGCGGGCUUGGUGUUGGGGGUCCUUAGUGGGCGCCCAGUGCCGGAGAGAAGUUGUUAAGCCUGCUGCUUGGGGAGUAUGUCCGCAAGGAUGAAACUUAAAUGAAUUGGCGGGG